This 327-nucleotide ribosomal RNA is filed under the name uncultured fungus. RNAcentral's name for it is "LSU rRNA". It matches the Rfam family "Eukaryotic large subunit ribosomal RNA", at positions 320 to 667 of the family's 3401-position model. The record is from RNAcentral. Lineage: Eukaryota; Fungi.
AUACCGGCCAGAGACCGAUAGCGCACAAGUAGAGUGAUCGAAAGAUGAAAAGCACUUUGGAAAGAGAGUUAAAAAGCACGUGAAAUUGUUGAAAGGGAAGCGCUUACAACCAGACUUUGGGGCGGUGUUCCGCCGGUCUUCUGACCGGUCUACUCUCCGUCCCGAGGCCAACAUCAUCUGGGACCGCCGGACAAGACCUCAGGAAUGUAGCUCCCCCUCGGGGGAGUGUUAUAGCCUGUGGUGAUGCGGCGCGUCCCGGGUGAGGUCCGCGCUUCGGCAAGGAUGUUGGCGUAAUGGUUGUCAGCGGCCCGUCUUGAAACACGGACC